GGAAUAUUGGACAAUGGGCGAAAGCCUGAUCCAGCCAUGCCGCGUGUGUGAAGAAGGUCUUCGGAUUGUAAAGCACUUUAAGUUGGGAGGAAGGGCAGUAAAUUAAUACUUUGCUGUUUUGACGUUACCGACAGAAUAAGCACCGGCUAACUCUGUGCCAGCAGCCGCGGUAAUACAGAGGGUGCAAGCGUUAAUCGGAAUUACUGGGCGUAAAGCGCGCGUAGGUGGUUUGUUAAGUUGAAUGUGAAAUCCCCGGGCUCAACCUGGGAACUGCAUCCAAAACUGGCAAGCUAGAGUAGGGCAGAGGGUGGUGGAAUUUCCUGUGUAGCGGUGAAAUGCGUAGAUAUAGGAAGGAACACCAGUGGCGAAGGCGACCACCUGGGCUCAUACUGACACUGAGGUGCGAAAGCGUGGGGAGCAAACAGGAUUAGAUACCCGUG
This 440-nucleotide ribosomal RNA is filed under the name uncultured Pseudomonas sp. RNAcentral's name for it is "bacterial SSU rRNA". It matches the Rfam family "Bacterial small subunit ribosomal RNA", at positions 358 to 790 of the family's 1533-position model. Lineage: Bacteria; Pseudomonadati; Pseudomonadota; Gammaproteobacteria; Pseudomonadales; Pseudomonadaceae. The record is from RNAcentral.